UACGUAGGGGGCUAGCGUUAUCCGGAAUUACUGGGGCGUAAAGGGUGCGUAGGUGGUUUCUUAAGUCAGAGGUGAAAGGCUACGGCUCAACCGUAGUAAGCCUUUGAAACUGGGAAACUUGAGUGCAGGAGAGGAGAGUGGAAUUCCUAGUGUAGCGGUGAAAUGCGUAGAUAUUAGGAGGAACACCAGUUGCGAAGGCGGCUCUCUGGACUGUAACUGACACUGAGGCACGAAAGCGUGGGGAGCAAACAGGAUUAGAUACCUCGGUAGUCCCUGAGCGGG
This 282-nucleotide ribosomal RNA is filed under the name uncultured prokaryote. RNAcentral describes it as "partial 16S ribosomal RNA". It matches the Rfam family "Bacterial small subunit ribosomal RNA", at positions 524 to 803 of the family's 1533-position model. The record is from RNAcentral.